Molecule: non-coding RNA, 463 nt
Filed under: Pongo abelii (Sumatran orangutan)
Lineage: Eukaryota; Metazoa; Chordata; Mammalia; Primates; Hominidae
Source: RNAcentral
GCUGCAAAGAUGGCCCUGCCUCCAUGCCUUGUUGAACAUGACGAUGCCCCUGGGAAUGGGAGGUGAUGGUUUUUUACUUCGGCCCUAGUACGGAGUAUGCUCUUGAAGCUGGAUUCCAUCAGCAGGUUUUGGAAAUCACUAGUGGGUAAAAAAGACCAAUUUGCAACUAGGCUGUCAUGCUCUGUUGAAAACUAUGUCACAAUAUCACAAUACUAGAUGUUGGGCUCAAGACAGCAAACAGAAAGCAGCAAGGGCAGUGACUGGAAGCUGGGAGAGAGGGUCAACAGCUGAAUCUCAGCCUGAUAGAGGCCACCAUUUAAUAAGUAAAUACAUGCACAGCUAUUUAGAUCCUGCAUCAGACAGCUUCCUCAGCUUCCUCAGAAAGGUCAUCAGAAAACAUGAAGCUAAAUGCAGUAAAGAAUUACUCUCUUGAACUCUUGAAAAUAUCAUUUUCUUAGAGAAA